GAGAGAGAGAGGCAGAGACACAGGCAGAGGGAGAAGCAGGCUCCGCGCAGCGAGCCCGACGCGGGACUCGAUCCCCGGUCCCCAGGUCACGCCCUGGGCAGAAGGGGGCGCUAAACCGCUGCGCCAGCCCGGCUGCCCAUGAUUGAAAUUGCCGAUGGGAAAUUUUGAAGGAUAGAAGUUAAAAACGAGUGAAUGGGUGCUCAACUUUCCAUCUUUCGGGAGUAAAUGUAAGAAGUCUGGAGGCGGCUACCACAAGGUAGGGGAGCGGCGGGGAGCGCGGAGCAGCGGGCGCGGAGGCCGGGGCGCGAGGGGCGGGGCCGGCAGGCCGGCGGGUCCCCGGGGUGCACCAUAGAGGGCGCUGGAUGACCGAGGGACAGAGAGGCGCACGCCGCCCACGCCAGUGGCUCCGGGAACCCGCGCCGGCGAGCAAGAUGGCGGCCGUUUGACUGCGAGGCGAGGCGCGGCGCCGCGGGGUGCUGCCGGGGUGGCGACGGCGGGUUGGCUUGGAGCAACGGCCGCCGCCGGGACAGGCUCCCCGCGAGAUGGGACGUGAAGGGCUCCCGCCCGCCCCGCCGAUGUUCUUCAGUCUCAAAAAACAUAGAACAGCUACAGAAAAGGUACCACUGCCAUAAAUUUUGCCUACCCCAGGAAAUCUCCAGUUCAACUCUUGAGUUGCUCCGAUGAUCCACCCACCCUGGACCCAUACCCCUGUCUCCAGGCACUGAAUUUUAAGAGGAAAUUCCUGGAGACCCUAAAACCUUCAAGACACAAAGAAUGCAAGAUAGAGAAAAAUAGUGACAGUCAGUUCUUUUGGAGUAAAAUGUCACUGCCUCAAACAUACUUCAUAGGUAUUCAUCACAUACCAAUUCUGAAAUUAGCCUGCUUGUUAUGGUGUUAUGACAGCAAACAGUAUGCAAAGGUUGGUCAACACUUGAAAACUGUACCUUCAUUGCCUCAGACCUUCCAGGGCUGUCAUUGCAAGUCAGUGCAGUGUCUGUCCAGCAUAACAAUGAUUCCCUAAAGAGGAGAGCAGCUUGGUAAGAAGAAACUAAUGACUAUUAUUUUUUUUAAAGUUUCUCUUUAGAGGCAUCUCACUGAGAUAUGCACAAAAGAGAGAUUUGGUAUGUCACUAAUGGCACGUUCCAACCUUCAGAAUGCAUAAAAUGCUCCCGCAUCUAAUUAGAUAUGGGGUCAAAGUAAAGAAUUUCCUUCCCCAAAUUGACUGUGGGAGUUUGUGUAUUUAUUUGAGUGAACUGGGUCAGUUGACAGGUCCAGUCAACUUACAGACUCACUGUGAUUUAUGCUUUGGUAGGAAGGAAGAGCAGCUUUGGAAACUCAGACCUCUUCUAU
RNAcentral lists this long non-coding RNA (1350 nucleotides) under Vulpes vulpes (red fox). Its description in RNAcentral is "lncRNA (ENSVVUG00000022144.1)". Lineage: Eukaryota; Metazoa; Chordata; Mammalia; Carnivora; Canidae. The record is from RNAcentral.